GAUGAAGAACGUAGCGAAAUGCGAUACUUGGUGUGAAUUGCAGAAUCCCGUGAACCAUCGAGUCUUUGAACGCAAGUUGCGCCCGAAGCCUCGGCUAAGGGCACGUCUGCCUGGGCGUCACGCAUCGCGUCCCCCCCAAACCGCCAAGGCGGAGGGGAAGGAAGAUGGCUUCCCGUGCCUCACCCGGCGCGGUUGGCCUAAAUUUGGAGCCCGCGGCACUUAGCUCUCGCGGCGAUAGGUGGUGAACAAGGCCUUGGCCGUGCAAACAACCCGCUGCGAAGCUCUAUGUCACGUGCGCUCGUCGGACCCUUUGAAGUUGCCUUCGGUGACUUAAAACCUUUGCGACCCCAGGUCAGGCGGGGCUACCCGCUGAAUUUAAGCAUAUCAAUAAGCGGAGGA
RNAcentral lists this unclassified non-coding RNA (399 nucleotides) under soil metagenome. RNAcentral describes it as "partial contains 5.8S ribosomal RNA, internal transcribed spacer 2, and large subunit ribosomal RNA". The stretch from base 1 to 120 matches the Rfam family "5.8S ribosomal RNA", at positions 35 to 154 of the family's 154-position model. The record is from RNAcentral.